Molecule: ribosomal RNA, 170 nt
Filed under: uncultured rumen bacterium
Lineage: Bacteria
Description: partial 16S ribosomal RNA
Rfam family: Bacterial small subunit ribosomal RNA
Source: RNAcentral
UACGGAAGGCAGCAGUAAGGAAUCUUGCACAAUGGGGGAAACCCUGAUGCAGCAACGCCGCGUGAACGAUGAAGGCCUUCGGGUUGUAAAGUUCUGAUCUUGGGGAAGAAGAAAGUGACGGUACCCAAGGAGAAAGCCCCGGCUAACUACGUGCCAGCAGCCGCGGUAAU